This 468-nucleotide ribosomal RNA is filed under the name uncultured bacterium. RNAcentral's name for it is "partial 16S ribosomal RNA". It matches the Rfam family "Bacterial small subunit ribosomal RNA", at positions 28 to 507 of the family's 1533-position model. The record is from RNAcentral.
GACGAACGCUGGUGGCGUGCUUAACACAUGCAAGUCGAACGGAAAGGCCCUGCUUUUGUGGGGUGCUCGAGUGGCGAACGGGCGAGUAACACGUGAGUAACCUGCCCUUGACUUUGGGAUAACUUCAGGAAACUGGGGCUAAUACCGGAUAGGAGCUCCUGCUGCAUGGUGGGGGUUGGAACGUUUCGGCGGUUGGGGAUGGACUCGCGGCUUAUCCGCUUGUUGGUGGGGUAGUGGCUUACCAAGGCUUUGACGGGUAGCCGGCCUGAGUGGGUGACCGGCCACAUUGGGACUAAGAUACGGCCCAUACGCCUACGGGAGGCAGCAGUGGGGAAUAUUGCACAAUGGGCGGAAGCCUGAUGCAGCAACGCCGCGUGCGGGAUGACGGCCUUCGGGUUGUAAACCGCUUUCGCCUGUGACGAAGCGUGAGUGACGGUAAUGGGUAAAGAAGCACCGGCUAGCUACGUG